Molecule: long non-coding RNA, 3041 nt
Filed under: Limulus polyphemus (Atlantic horseshoe crab)
Lineage: Eukaryota; Metazoa; Arthropoda; Merostomata; Xiphosura; Limulidae
Description: uncharacterized LOC106459160, transcript variant X6
Source: RNAcentral
AAACUCGCUUGGACUGUAUUUUGUUUUAAUGUUAUUCUUAAAAUAACCAAAAACUAAAUUAGUAUUCACUGAAACUAUAGAGAUGAAAAAUAAAAGAUUUGUCAGUAGAAAUAUCGAAAUCCGGUUUCUAACGUUGAAAGUCCGCUCUACGUUUCAAAACUUGUGGAAUUAUUUUAGCUGAUCUGGUCUUUAAACGUGCCGAAGUUGGAAGAAAAUGCAAAGUGUAAAUUAAAAAUAAAAUAGAAAUAGCUGUUUACAAGAAAUUGUUGAGGCUAUUCAUAUUAUCAAUUUUAAGUUAGCCGUAGAAUGCUAUUUGUUAAGCCUAACAGUAUCACAUGAUUUAGCGUCAAAAGUUUUGAUAACCAUAAAUAAUUCAUAUUAGAUAUCUAUAGAAUGAUAAGUUUCUUUUUUAUGAGUGUAAAACACUUAAAAACUCCAUUUCGACACCUCACUACCAUAAAAGCUUGGUUUGGUCUGAAGUUUCAUUUGGUGGUCGUGUCCAGGGUCACUGAAGAUGAGUGGACUUCUUCUAUACUAGUCUGGCCCACAGACACACCCCCAAUGAAACAAUAGACCAUUCCAAGCUUUUACUUGUUGUUAAACAAAUGUCAUAGUAGUUUUGCCAUUAGUCGACUAUUAACUAUUUUGAUAUUACAAUUUGCAGAUAAUUUGUGUCACGAGUGAUAUCUAACCAGAUCUAGUCUUAAAAAUUAUGACGAAUAAGACUGCAAAUGGCAAUAGUUAUUAAUACUACAGUAUACUGUCAAACUCAAAGUGAGUUCAUAUAUACUAGAGAAACAAAAAUCCUUUGCAGCUUGAACUAUAAGUUUAUCAAUAAUAAUUUAGUUAAACAUUUUGCAGCGCAGCCUUACUCAAAACUCGACAAUGGCCAACUUAGCUGUCUAAAGUUGUAGAAAUGUAAUAAUAAUUAAUAUUUGUAUAGUAUUCUACUACCAUUAGUAGUACUAAACUGUUUUAAAGUUAAGUGUUGAUGGAAUAAAUUUAAUGGAUAUUCGUAUUAUUAGAUUUUAAUGAGUAGUGUUUAACAUCCUAUUGCUAUAAAACCGAAGUCAGCAAUGAGCCCAUAUGUGUGUUGUAUUAGAAUGUCUUGUAAAAUCCCAAUAUAUUUGACACUUUAUUUACAUAAGAAUAACCCAAACUUAGCAGUGGGUGCUGCAUUCUCUCUGGUUGAGGAGUUAAAAAUCAGUAACCCUUUGGGUAGCUUUGCAUGACAAAUCUGGGGAAUCUCUUUAAAAAUUUUGUGACAUGUCACAUGUGCAGUUCGACACUUCUAUAUGCAUAAGGUUAGUAACAGCAUGUAAUGAAAAUUUAGGUGUUUAUUUGUUUAGGAGAUGUCACUGUAACAAUGUGUUAGUGAGAUAUAAGUUUUAUUUGUUUGUUGACAUUCAUACUGCUAACCUCAUAUAAGUGUUUAAAGGGUGGUAAACUGAUGUAAUGAUGGAAGUAUUGGAGAUUAAAAUAGAAUCCUUUAGUGAUGAGGAGCAGGAUAAUUUCUGGAGGAAUGAAGAAAAAACAUCAAUUUGUGGGUUAACUAGCAAGACAGUUUUGAGAGAACAGUAUGCAGUAUUGUAGUUGGAAUGAUAUAUGACGGGACUUCACUUACCUGGUGUAAUUACCAUUAAUGUAUUGUAGUUACAACCAGAAGAGGGUUAAUAACACACUUGUCACAGUAAAAAAUGAGCAACUUGAUGAUUCAUCACAUUAUGGCAUCGUUUAUAAGUUCAAUGAGAGUGAUGAUGAAAUUUUGAAUUUGAAAAGGAAAAAGAGCCAAAAGAAUAUUCUACAUUAGAUGCUUUAACAACAGGAGAAGCUGCUUCUGUAGAAGAACAAUUUUUACACUCCAUCACUGAUUUUAAAGUACCAAAAGAAGAGCAAGAGAACAGUGAUGGAAUACUGUUGAAAACUGAGAACACAUUUGUUCAAGUAAACACCAAGAAUCCUGGUGAUUCGCCACAAGAUGGCAUUAUUUCUAAGUUCAGCGAGAGUGGUGACGAAGCUCUAGAUUCUUCAGAAGAAGAUGUUAUGAGUUGGAAAAAAGAAAAUGAACCAAAAGAAGAAAUAGAACAAGUUAAUUCUAAGUUAGAAUUAAAUAUAUAGUUAUCAAGAAUUAUAUUCAUUAACCAUGUGGAUGUAGACACACUACUUAGUAGAAAAGUUUUAUUUUUAUAUUGAGUUAAGUAAUCAUGCUAAAAUAUACUGUAUAAUACAAAAUUUUAUUCAGAAUUAAUGUUAGAUUUGUGUGGUGCUGCUUAAUAUCUCCUGGAAAUUCUGUGGUAGAAACCUUAGUCACCUUAGUUAAGAUACUCAAAAAGUGAUUGGUCACAGUUUCUUGGUCAAGAAGCAUCUUAAUAAGAAACUAAUUAGAUUUCCUCUACAUUCAAAAAUGACUAUUAAUCAAACAAAUUAGCUGUAUAGUAUGGGAAUAAGCAUUAGAGUUGUGAUAUCUAUAAUACACUUUUUAUUUCUGUGAAAUGAUGCCAUAGUUGAACAAUAUGUCAGUUUCACCUAAACAUGAACAUUAAUAAUGGUCAGUUUUGUGUUUAAUCACUCAUUAACAUAAAAAGUGUGUUCAAUAAACUGAGGGCUCGAACUGUAUAGCAACAACAGUAAGGUAGUGUUCAAUAAACUGAGGGCUAGAAUUGUAUGGUAACAACAGUAAUGUAAUGUUCAAUAAACUGAUGGCUAGAAUUGUACGGUAACAACAGUAACAUAGUGUUCAAUAAACUGAUGGCUAGAAUUGUAUGGCAACAACAGUAAUGUAGCAAGUAUAUCCACACAUUCCAACACAAUUUUUUGUUUUCUUUCCACACUUGUAUGGCAUGGCCAGGUGGUUAGGGAGCUCGACUUACAAUAUGCGGAUCGCGGGUUUGAAUCCCUGUCCGACCAAACACGCUAGCCCUUUCAGCCACAGGGGCAUUAUAAUGUAAUAGUCAAUCCCUCUAUUCAUCAACAAAAGAGUAGCCCAUGAGUUGGCAGUGGGUAGUGAUGACUAGCUGUCUUCCCUCUAGUCUUACACUGCU